GAAGAGGAAGCAACUGGAUGUUUGGUCAACCAGCAAAGCAGCUGGUGGCGUCAAAGCGAUAUACCAGUGGAAAUUCAAAACCUACAUGUCAUCAAGAAACAUCAGAUGUUUGUUGGAAUCCUCAAAAGUUCUAAACUCUUCGUACAAAAACAGGAACAACGUGAACUACUUGACAA
This is a long non-coding RNA of Dendronephthya gigantea, 176 nucleotides long. RefSeq lists it as uncharacterized. Lineage: Eukaryota; Metazoa; Cnidaria; Anthozoa; Malacalcyonacea; Nephtheidae. The record is from RefSeq and is a predicted model, not a curated record. The transcript has 3 exons.